AAAGUCGUAACAAGGUUUCCGUAGGUGAACCUGCGGAAGGAUCAUUACAUAUUAAGCAAAGCCGGGUACAAGAGCCACCGCUUCGGCGCAACUCUGUCCUGGUCGCGCGAAUAUUCACCCAUGUUUUUGCGUACUUCUUGUUUCCUUGGUGGGCUCGCCCGCCACAGGACAACCAUUAAACCUUUUGUAAUUGCAGUCAGCGUCAGUAAAAUGUAAUCGUUACAACUUUCAACAACGGAUCUCUUGGUUCUG
RNAcentral lists this unclassified non-coding RNA (252 nucleotides) under Ascomycota sp. Its description in RNAcentral is "partial contains small subunit ribosomal RNA, internal transcribed spacer 1, and 5.8S ribosomal RNA". The stretch from base 1 to 47 matches the Rfam family "Eukaryotic small subunit ribosomal RNA", at positions 1785 to 1831 of the family's 1831-position model. Lineage: Eukaryota; Fungi; Ascomycota. The record is from RNAcentral.